RNA transcript from Gopherus flavomarginatus (Mexican gopher tortoise), 4842 nucleotides. It is a transcript of the gene named alpha-N-acetylgalactosaminide alpha-2,6-sialyltransferase 2-like, with no coding region annotated. The record is from RefSeq and is a predicted model, not a curated record. The transcript is spliced from 13 exons. NCBI's taxonomy places the organism in Eukaryota, Metazoa, Chordata, Testudines, Testudinidae.
UCCUCCAGCAAAGGACCACCUCCUUAUCUCAAGGGUGCAGUUGUUACUGGUAUGGUGCAGGAGGGCCUGGCUGCUGCUGGCUAAGACAUCCUGUGUAUGCUGCAGCUAGGGUUUCCGUUAUGGGCUGCACCAAGCUCAGGGCAUGUACAAUACACCCACCCGUAGUUUCCAGUGCAACCAAAGGUGCUUCAGAGACGUGUCUCGGAGCUGGAAAGAGCCCUCCGUGAUCAGGCAGCGCCGCUGAAAGAUUCCUAGGAACGGUCUCUCCCCCUUCCCCCUUUCUGUGCCGCCCUCCUCUGGGAUCCUUUCCAGUCUGGACAGAGCUGUCCACUCCACGUCCUGUCCGCCUGAUCUCUUUCCGAAGGGCCAUCUGCUGGCAGAGCUGACAUGCUUCAGCCUCAAGGCUGCCUGGGAUCCUGGCAAGACAUGCAGCUGGGUUAGAGUUCCAGCGGAGAGCUUCCGUGGGGCCACGAGAAUCGCUGCGUCACCCAGACCCUGCUCCAGCCAUGAUCCGCCUGCGAAGCUGUGCCCUGUGCUGGGCUCUGCUGGGUGCCGCGACCCUGGUGCUUCUGUACCAAGCCGGGACUUGCUAUAGCCGGGGGAGCUUCCCAAGCUUUUCCUACAGGGAUCCUCUCGGAGCUCGCCAGCCCGGAGCCGGAGCCAUGCCAGUGCAGCCACCGGUGACCCUGCUGGGCAGUAGGGCCCCCAGCUCCACGCUGCAGCCGUUCUUGGGGGACUUGUAUGGCCGGGAUGAGACGUACCAAAGCUCGAGGUGCCCCAGUGGCAUCAGGAAGAGGAUCGUGAGCACCAAAUUCAGCAGCGUCUUCCUGGAGGCCAUCCCGGUGCUGCAGUGGGCCCAACAUGCCCGGCCGGCUGAGUAUCGACGCCUGCAGAACUACGGAGGGGCCCAUGGCUGGCAGGAGGUUGGCUGGCCUGUUGUGAGGGACGCACUGACCCGUCUCAACGCGUCGGCCAACGGGCGCAUGUUCGACGCCCGCCCCCGAGCUGCUGCGGGCGGCUCCCCCUGCGUCCACUGCGCCGUGGUGGGCAACGGUGGCAUCCUGAACGGCUCCCGGGCAGGGGCUGCGAUUGACCGGCACGACUAUGUCUUCAGGACCAACGGGGCCCUCACCAAAGGCUUUGAAAGAGACGUGGGCCGCAGGACCUCCUUCUACGUCUUCUCUACUAACACCAUGAUGAACUCGCUGCAUAACUAUGCCAGCAACGGCUUCCGCCAGCUGCCCCAGACUCUGGAAACUAGGUACAUCUUCCUCCCAGACCAUGACCGAGAUUACCUGCUGCUCCGGGCGGCCCUGACCCACCGCCCUGUCGACAGAGGCUCAGAUGAGGGUGCUCGGCCGGAACAAUACUUCGGGAAAGACCUGCGGGCGGAGAAAUUUAAGAUGUUUCAUCCUGAUUUUAUCCGCUACGUCAGGAACCGGUUCCUCCGCUCCAGCAUUUUGGACACCCCGCAGUGGAGGCUGUACCGUCCCUCCACCGGGGCAGUGAUGCUGUUGGCUGCCCUCCACACCUGCGAUGAGGUAAGCGCCUACGGGUUCAUCACCCCCAACUACCAGGCCUACUCCGAACACUACUUCGACCCGACGCACAAGGCCCUGCUGUUCUACGCCAACCACGACCUGCGGCUGGAGAUGAGCCUGUGGCAGGAACUGCACCAGAGCCAGCUUAUCACGCUGCACACGAGAGGCUGAAGUUCAGCCUGACUGAGUGACCUCAGCAGCUCCCACAGGCUGGUAGCAUUGGCACAGCAGGGCAGAGACGUUUUCUGGGUAGCAGAGCAAAGACAGAUCUUCAGACUUGGCUGUGUGCAACUGAACAGCCCUUGUCCUGCUCCUGGCUCGGGGUUGGCGUGGAAGGGGCCGCUAGAGUGGACUCUGGGGGCAUCUCUGCAAGGCCCAGUGCCAUCAGAGCAAGGACCUGCUCGUGCACAGAUGGAGUGGGCUCCAGAGUCAGCCAAGGCGGCUCCACACGGACGUUAGCCUGCUCUGGCCACAUCCCCACUGCCGUGCUCCUUGAGUUUCCCCUGUGGGGGCCCAUCCCUGCUGGAGGAAUGGGCUAGGAAGGCCAUGCGACCAGCACAGCUACAAUAAGCUUGGCCAAAGAUUCCCAAUUAAGGAGGCUGAAAACUGGCCUCUUGUUUAGUGGAUUAGGUGGGAUAAUGGGAUAACGGGACCUCUCAGCGGGGGAUUAUCUGAAUUCUCCUUUGGGGAGAAGGGCAGAAGCUGACAGAGGUUUUGCGGCUUGGGGAGAUAGUGGCUCAAUCUGGUGUCUACUCAGGGCGGGGGAGAUUAUGAGCUGAUCCAGCCGUAUCAGCAGGGAGUCUGGAAUAAGUUAGCAGGAUUGGCACAGGGGGAGAUCCCCCAGCUGCUGGAGCAGAGCUAGGGGCUCUCACCCAUGCACACUUGUCGCAGCAGGGAAGCAGGCGUCAGAGUGCAGGCAGCUGGCCGUGUGCCUCGCUUUAAGGACUGAGCAGCCCUGGGCCUGGCCCCGGCACUGUACGGUGCACUGGGCUGGGGGUGUCAGGGGAAAGGGUGCCGCGAGUUAACCUGAAUCCCUUUCACUGCAGCAUUCUGGGGAAUCUCCUCUUCCUCCUCUCUCCCCAUCGCACCAGCACCUUCCCUGGCUCUCAGCUUCCCUCUGGUCCGUCCUCUCCCGGCCCAGAUUCUGCUCAGUCUCAGAACGGGCCACAGUUGUGCUGAGCUGUGCUCAUGGGGCUCUGAGAACAGGCACUGCCCAGCAGUGCCAGGCCCUGGGAUGUGUCCAGAGGGACUUUAACCCCCAGCUCUAUGGCUGGUGCUGUGUGCUGGGGAGGGGGGUUGAAGGGUUCACCUCAGCUAUCCAGUGGGGUUUGUGGACCCCAGGUAUAUCUCUCAGUGUCCAGAGCCAGGGGCUGGGAGCCAGGCCUCCUGGCUUCUGUCUCAGCCACUAACUGCCCUCUGUCCGGCCAAGCGCCUAGGGCCAGCAGAAAUUCCUGGCUGUGGGUGCAGGCAAGGGGCCAGGCUCAGGGGUUGGUGUGCACUCUCUCUCCCGGCCCCUAGCUGUGCCAGCGCUGGCCUGGCGAAAGCAAAGGGCUCAGCUGCAGAAGAGAUCACACGAGAGAGUCUUUAUUCGGGGCAGGAAACGGACCCGAUGGAUGCAAACGGCACCAGGACUGCAAUACAUGUGCUGAGGCUGGGACAAGGGCGGGCGUGACGCAGGACACGGCACAAGGACAGGAACUUUCUUCACUCCCUGCACUAGUGCAGCAGCUGUGCCAAUGGUGCACUUGCCCUUCUCUGGGCAGAGAGCAGCCAGCUGGCACAGGCAGGGCUCUCGGGACGGUGCUGAGCUGGGUCCACUCUGAGUGGGACGGGAGGAGCUGGGGGAAGGGAAUGGAUUGAGGAGGCCCAAGGCUCGGAGCCGGGUUGGAUCUGGUUUUUCUUCAGUCUUUCUGCUCCCAGCCCCGGCCUGGCUGGCCCUGAUGCUCUGUUGGGGUGGGAGGCUGGGGGGAGAGCGGCACUGUCUUGAAUGCACCUGUUGCUGGUCGUGUGCGUCUCAGCCAGGGCAGGUGCUGGGGAGGUUCAGCUGCAGUGGGGCCAGGGGAGUGGUUCUUAUUUCUCAAGCCCUCUCUCCUGCCCUGGCCCAAAACUGCCUCCUACCGCUCUAGGCCUGGUAUGCAGCUUGGUACCCACCCCUGCUGUCCCCUCCCCGCCAGCCAGGUGUGGCAGCCCCUUCCCCUCCACACUGGGGUCUAGGCGACAGAACACACAGGACAAGCACAGUGCUGCAUGGGCGGCCAGCGGCGGCCUAUGUGGGGGGCUGCCCCCAAAGCAGACGGCCUGGUGCCAGGAAGUGGGGCGCUCCUUCUCCUUCUCCUCUGCCUCACUUCUUCUUGGGGAUCUUCUCCUUCGUGACCAGGUCGGAGAACUCUGCAGGGAGACGGGGGAGAGAAGCGGUGGGUGCUGGGCCAGGCUGCCUUGUGUUUUGGGGCCAGGGAGAUGGGCGGUAGGAGACUGAAUGCUGCAGCUGGCUUCCUGCGCCUUCCAGACAGCCCCGGGAGGCCGCUGGGGGGAGCGGAGUCUCCACUGAAGGUUGACACCCCCAACCCCCCGACAGUGCUGCAGAGGGCAGCUCCAAAGGGGCCCCAUGUUCCAGUGAAAGGGGGGACAGGGUUAGCAGAGCUUAGAUACCCCAGGGGCAAGUGCUAUGCCCCCCUCCCCCGGCGGCCAGCCUGCCCCCUACCUUGGAAAUCAAUCCUCCCAUCCCCAUCUGUGUCAGCCGCUUGGAUUAUAGCUUCAGCCUCCUCGUCUGACAAGGGCACUGCAGGCAUGGUGCUGGGCACGGUGGACAGGAUGUACCUGCGGGACAGGUGGCGCCAGGCUCAGGAGGCGGCUGGGGCCUCAGCUGGCCUGGGACAAGGAGGGUUUUAUGGUGCCAGAUGGGGCAGAGUGGCAGGUGGGGUUUGAAGGGACAGGCCAGACUCAGCCCAUGUAGCCCUCACAGCAUGGAGAUAGUGCCUCGGGCCUUUGGGGGUGCCCAGGGUGGUGUUUGAGUGUCUGGGGAAGGGCUUGUUGGGCUGAGAGCGGGUGGAUGCCCACGGACACUUGGGAACAUGGGCUGAGAGGAGACGGGGACAGCAACCAGAGCAGCUCCUGGGCCUGCGGCAGCCUGGAUCCCACUCUGGAACUGGGGGCACCGUGGCAGCACUUAGCCGUGGCACCGGUUGCAGGUGCUAGCCUGGCAGCCCUGGGGAGCACAGUCCUCUCGCUAGCCAGCUCAGCAACUCAGCACUGGCUUCCCCAGCGCUACCCUGCCAAGGUGGGGCACGCCGGGGGGGGGUAA